AGUGCGCAGGGAUAGAUAAGAGG
This 23-nucleotide microRNA is filed under the name Monodelphis domestica (gray short-tailed opossum). Its description in RNAcentral is "mdo-miR-1545a-5p". The record is from miRBase by way of RNAcentral. Lineage: Eukaryota; Metazoa; Chordata; Mammalia; Didelphimorphia; Didelphidae.